AUUGAACGCUGGCGGCAUGCCUUACACAUGCAAGUCGAACGGCAGCACGGGUGCUUGCACCUGGUGGCGAGUGGCGAACGGGUGAGUAAUACAUCGGAACAUGUCCUGUAGUGGGGGAUAGCCCGGCGAAAGCCGGAUUAAUACCGCAUACGAUCUACGGAUGAAAGCGGGGGACCUUCGGGCCUCGCGCUAUAGGGUUGGCCGAUGGCUGAUUAUCUAGUUGGUGGGGUAAAGGCCUACCAAGGCGACGAUCAGUAGCUGGUCUGAGAGGACGACCAGCCACACUGGGACUGAGACACGGCCCAGACUCCUACGGGAGGCAGCAGUGGGGAAUUUUGGACAAUGGGCGAAAGCCUGAUCCAGCAAUGCCGCGUGUGUGAAGAAGGCCUUCGGGUUGUAAAGCACUUUUGUCCGGAAAGAAAUCCUUGGCCCUAAUACGGUCGGGGGAUGACGGUACCGGAAGAAUAAGCACCGGCUAACUACGUG
RNAcentral lists this ribosomal RNA (486 nucleotides) under uncultured bacterium. RNAcentral's name for it is "partial 16S ribosomal RNA". It matches the Rfam family "Bacterial small subunit ribosomal RNA", at positions 30 to 507 of the family's 1533-position model. The record is from RNAcentral.